AGUCGAACGAUGAACCACCUUCGGGUGGGGAUUAGUGGCGAACGGGUGAGUAACACGUGGGCAAUCUGCCCUUCACUCUGGGACAAGCCCUGGAAACGGGGUCUAAUACCGGAUACUGACCUGCCAAGGCAUCUUGGCGGGUCGAAAGCUCCGGCGGUGAAGGAUGAGCCCGCGGCCUAUCAGCUUGUUGGUGAGGUAAUGGCUCACCAAGGCGACGACGGGUAGCCGGCCUGAGAGGGCGACCGGCCACACUGGGACUGAGACACGGCCCAGACUCCUACGGGAGGCAGCAGUGGGGAAUAUUGCACAAUGGGCGAAAGCCUGAUGCAGCGACGCCGCGUGAGGGAUGACGGCCUUCGGGUUGUAAACCUCUUUCAGCAGGGAAGAAGCGAAAGUGACGGUACCUGCAGAAGAAGCGCCGGCUAACUACGUGCCAGCAGCCGCGGUAAUACGUAGGGCGCAAGCGUUGUCCGGAAUUAUUGGGCGUAAAGAGCUCGUAGGCGGCUUGUCACGUCGGUUGUGAAAGCCCGGGGCUUAACCCCGGGUCUGCAGUCGAUACGGGCAGGCUAGAGUUCGGUAGGGGAGAUCGGAAUUCCUGGUGUAGCGGUGAAAUGCGCAGAUAUCAGGAGGAACACCGGUGGCGAAGGCGGAUCUCUGGGCCGAUACUGACGCUGAGGAGCGAAAGCGUGGGGAGCGAACAGGAUUAGAUACCCUGGUAGUCCACGCCGUAAACGGUGGGCACUAGGUGUGGGCAACAUUCCACGUUGUCCGUGCCGCAGCUAACGCAUUAAGUGCCCCGCCUGGGGAGUACGGCCGCAAGGCUAAAACUCAAAGGAAUUGACGGG
This 845-nucleotide ribosomal RNA is filed under the name Streptomyces coelicoflavus. Its description in RNAcentral is "bacterial SSU rRNA". It matches the Rfam family "Bacterial small subunit ribosomal RNA", at positions 60 to 917 of the family's 1533-position model. Lineage: Bacteria; Bacillati; Actinomycetota; Actinomycetes; Kitasatosporales; Streptomycetaceae. The record is from RNAcentral.